This is an RNA transcript of Scylla paramamosain (green mud crab), 1432 nucleotides long. RefSeq lists it as uncharacterized. The record is from RefSeq and is a predicted model, not a curated record. Lineage: Eukaryota; Metazoa; Arthropoda; Malacostraca; Decapoda; Portunidae. The transcript has 4 exons.
CUCCCCUUCCCUUCUGUUCCAUUCCCUGGUGAUGGCACAGAAUUAUCAACAACAAGCUUUUGACGGCUGAGGAUGAAGCCCGAAUCAACCAGGUACAGGCCAGGUCAUUAGCAGCAGGCAUGGCCGCCGUGCCCCGCCAAGCCCGGGUGUUGAACCUGAGACCAAGCCAGAGUGAGGGCAGUGUCAUUCCUCCUGUCCACUACCUCAACUUCUACUCCCAACACUACCACAGCCAUGAGUGGUCUGGUGUGGUGGCUGAGGAUUCUUUUGAAGAGGACAAUGCUUCUGCUUCAUCUGAGCAGGUGGUGAGCUACAGCUACCUGGCUGCACCUCAAGGCCAAAGCCACUCCAAAGAUGUGGUCUAUGGGUCUGGUGCAGCAGCCAAGCCUCCUUCCUCUGGCCACAGCUUCUCUGCCAGAUCUCCAACUCUUAGCCAGACACUUUGACUGGAAAUUCAGAAAUCUGGUCAUACAGCAGCUCCUGGCCAUGCCUCAGACCAUACUCACCUCAGCACUACACCACCUGUUAUUACUGCCUUUGAGUCCUCAAAAUUAUCUCACAUUUCCCCUUCCCCAUUAGUCCAUUCCUCAUCAUUCUCUGCACCAUCACCUUUUUUCUCCUCAUCCUUCUCACCUUCUGCUCACUCAUCAUCUCCCCCACAACCAUCACUCCCUCCUGCCUCUCCAUUUACUCAUCCUGAAGCCAUAUUUGCCAUGCACCAAACUUCUGCCACAGUUCACCCUGCUGAUCCCAGCCAAUUUAUCAUCAAGGACUCCACUUUCCAGGAGGCUCUGGAAUGUAACUCCCACAGAUGGCAAGGAAACACUGCAUAUCUUCCCUCCCACAACAGCGAUGCACUUAAUGAAUUGGGCCGAGAUAAUUAGUGAAAGCUUUCUGUGUUAAAGAGAUGCAGCUAGUGAGCCAAUAUAUAUACUGAUCGUUCAUUUAAUCCUUUAUGUCAUAAAACUUCUCUGAAAAAAUCUAGUGAAUAAUUUUUCCUCUAUCACUGCACUGUCCUUGAUCUAAAUUACAUAUUAAAACUACACAUGAUAGUGUAAUGAUCAGUAUGCUUGGCUCACAAACCACAUAUAUAUAUAUAUAUAUAUAUAUAUAUAUAUAUAUAUAUAUAUAUAUAUAUAUAUAUAUAUAUAUAUAUAUAUAUAUAUAUAUAUAUAUAUAUAUAUAUAUAUAUAUAUAUAUAUAUAUAUAUAUAUGCUUGGCUUUGUCUCCAAACUCUCCCCCAUAGAGAGACUGUAUUAACCUGCAGAAAUAAAGCUAUCAUUCAGGGAAACUGGUUUGUUUGCCAAACAAACAUUACAUUGCUGAAUAUUCUGUGGCACCAAAUGCUUUGUCAGGAAUUGUGGCAAUGAUAUUUCAAUCCUUGUCUUUGCAUCCUACAAUUUGUAUGCUGAACAUAAACCUUAUCAACAAG